This 390-nucleotide transfer-messenger RNA is filed under the name Anaerolineae. RNAcentral's name for it is "JAAYED01 sp012719135 Standard tmRNA". It matches the Rfam family "transfer-messenger RNA". From Rfam's summary of the family: Bacterial tmRNA, also known as 10Sa RNA or SsrA, is named for its dual tRNA and mRNA-like properties. Its role is to liberate the mRNA from a stalled ribosome. RNAcentral also lists the same sequence under 1 other name. The record is from RNAcentral. Lineage: Bacteria; Bacillati; Chloroflexota.
GGGGAUGACAGGCUUCGACAGGGAGGGCUGGUCAGCGAUUGCAGGCCGAGGUGCCUCACCCUCGCUAAUCAGGGGCAAAAUGACAAGUGCCAACAACACUUACGCUCCGGCUUAUGCACUCGCCGCGUAAGCGGUCAUCAUAAGCCACCGGCCGACAGAGUCGGCCGCGUCCGCCUCCUGGCUUUGCCCGAGAGCCGGAGAACGGGCGUCGACUAAUUCGGGAUGCGGGUGGCGCGACGCCGAUACCGUUGCCCAAAGAUGCAUCGGCUGGUAGUCCGGAGCCUUUGUCGGGCGAGGGCCGGACUACGAGAAAUCAAUGACCGACUAUGCCUGUAGUAUAUCUCUGGUCGAACUUUCUGGACGCGGGUUCGAUUCCCGCCAUCUCCACCU